GGAUGAUGAUGAUCUCAAUUAGUAAGUCUCGUUCGUCUUGAUAGGUUGAUCCCUUCAGGACCAACCCUAUAUGACCACCCAUAUACCAAGUCC
This is a small nucleolar RNA of Dioscorea cayenensis subsp. rotundata (Guinea yam), 93 nucleotides long. RefSeq annotates it as small nucleolar RNA Z43. The record is from RefSeq and is a predicted model, not a curated record. NCBI's taxonomy places the organism in Eukaryota, Viridiplantae, Streptophyta, Magnoliopsida, Dioscoreales, Dioscoreaceae. The transcript has a single exon.